UGUUAAAAUUUUUAUCCAUUUGUAUUGUUAAAAACUAAUGUAAUUGAUAGAAUAAUCAGAAAGUGGUAUGUGGCAUAUCAUAUAUAUCUCAUGUUGAUGUAUGGAGACUAGUUUUUAACAGUAAAAAUGGAUGGAUUUUAAUG
Non-coding RNA from Gossypium hirsutum (cotton), 143 nucleotides. The record is from Rfam. NCBI's taxonomy places the organism in Eukaryota, Viridiplantae, Streptophyta, Magnoliopsida, Malvales, Malvaceae.